AGAAUUUAGCAGAGAUGCUUUAGUGCCUUCGGGAACUCUGAGACAGGUGCUGCAUGGCUGUCGUCAGCUCGUGUUGUGAAAUGUUGGGUUAAGUCCCGNAACGAGCGCAACCCUUAUCCUUUGUUGCCAGCACGUAAUGGUGGGAACUCAAAGGAGACUGCCGGUGAUAAACCGGAGGAAGGUGGGGAUGACGUCAAGUCAUCAUGGCCCUUACGAGUAGGGCUACACACGUGCUACAAUGGCGCAUACAAAGAGAAGCGACCUCGCGAGAGCAAGCGGACCUCAUAAAGUGCGUCGUAGUCCGGAUUGGAGUCUGCAACUCGACUCCAUGAAGUCGGAAUCGCUAGUAAUCGUAAAUCAGAAUGUUACGGUGAAUACGUUCCCGGGCCUUGUACACACCGCCCGUCACACCAUGGGAGUGGGUUGCAAAAGAAGUAGAUAGCUUAACCUUCGGGGAGGGCGUUUACCACUUUGUGAUUCAUGACUGGGGUGAAGUCGUAACAAGGUAAGCGUAGUGCU
RNAcentral lists this ribosomal RNA (519 nucleotides) under uncultured bacterium. RNAcentral describes it as "bacterial SSU rRNA". It matches the Rfam family "Bacterial small subunit ribosomal RNA", at positions 992 to 1509 of the family's 1533-position model. The record is from RNAcentral.